GUCCCCGUGGAGUAGUGGUUAUCUCGCUCGGUUCUCACCCGAGAGUUCGCCGGUUCAAAUCCGGCCGGGGAUG
This 73-nucleotide transfer RNA is filed under the name Streptomyces griseofuscus. RNAcentral's name for it is "tRNA-Glu". It matches the Rfam family "tRNA". From Rfam's summary of the family: Transfer RNA (tRNA) molecules are approximately 80 nucleotides in length. Their secondary structure includes four short double-helical elements and three loops (D, anti-codon, and T loops). Further hydrogen bonds mediate the characteristic L-shaped molecular structure. tRNAs have two regions of fundamental functional importance: the anti-codon, which is responsible for specific mRNA codon recognition, and the 3' end, to which the tRNAs corresponding amino acid is attached (by aminoacyl-tRNA synthetases). tRNAs cope with the degeneracy of the genetic code in two manners: having more than one tRNA (with a specific anti-codon) for a particular amino acid; and 'wobble' base-pairing, i.e. permitting non-standard base-pairing at the 3rd anti-codon position. Lineage: Bacteria; Bacillati; Actinomycetota; Actinomycetes; Kitasatosporales; Streptomycetaceae. The record is from RNAcentral.